This 1299-nucleotide ribosomal RNA is filed under the name Salmonella enterica subsp. enterica serovar Newport. RNAcentral's name for it is "partial 23S ribosomal RNA". It matches the Rfam family "Bacterial large subunit ribosomal RNA", at positions 85 to 1422 of the family's 2925-position model. The record is from RNAcentral. Lineage: Bacteria; Pseudomonadati; Pseudomonadota; Gammaproteobacteria; Enterobacterales; Enterobacteriaceae.
GGUGAUAUGAACCGUUAUAACCGGCGAUUUCCGAAUGGGGAAACCCAGUGUGAUUCGUCACACUAUCAUUAACUGAAUCCAUAGGUUAAUGAGGCGAACCGGGGGAACUGAAACAUCUAAGUACCCCGAGGAAAAGAAAUCAACCGAGAUUCCCCCAGUAGCGGCGAGCGAACGGGGAGGAGCCCAGAGCCUGAAUCAGCAUGUGUGUUAGUGGAAGCGUCUGGAAAGGCGCGCGAUACAGGGUGACAGCCCCGUACACAAAAGCGCAUGUGCUGUGAGCUCGAUGAGUAGGGCGGGACACGUGGUAUCCUGUCUGAAUAUGGGGGGACCAUCCUCCAAGGCUAAAUACUCCUGACUGACCGAUAGUGAACCAGUACCGUGAGGGAAAGGCGAAAAGAACCCCGGCGAGGGGAGUGAAAAAGAACCUGAAACCGUGUACGUACAAGCAGUGGGAGCACAGGUUUACCUGUGUGACUGCGUACCUUUUGUAUAAUGGGUCAGCGACUUAUAUUCUGUAGCAAGGUUAACCGAAUAGGGGAGCCGGAGGGAAACCGAGUCUUAAUUGGGCGUUAAGUUGCAGGGUAUAGACCCGAAACCCGGUGAUCUAGCCAUGGGCAGGUUGAAGGUUGGGUAACACUAACUGGAGGACCGAACCGACUAAUGUUGAAAAAUUAGCGGAUGACCUGUGGCUGGGGGUGAAAGGCCAAUCAAACCGGGAGAUAGCUGGUUCUCCCCGAAAGCUAUUUAGGUAGCGCCUCGUGAAUUCAUCUCCGGGGGUAGAGCACUGUUUCGGCUAGGGGGCCAUCCCGGCUUACCAACCCGAUGCAAACUGCGAAUACCGGAGAAUGUUAUCACGGGAGACACACGGCGGGUGCUAACGUCCGUCGUGAAGAGGGAAACAACCCAGACCGCCAGCUAAGGUCCCAAAGUCAUGGUUAAGUGGGAAACGAUGUGGGAAGGCCCAGACAGCCAGGAUGUUGGCUUAGAAGCAGCCAUCAUUUAAAGAAAGCGUAAUAGCUCACUGGUCGAGUCGGCCUGCGCGGAAGAUGUAACGGGGCUAAACCAUGCACCGAAGCUGCGGCAGCGACACUGUGUGUUGUUGGGUAGGGGAGCGUUCUGUAAGCCUGUGAAGGUGUGUCGUGAGGCAUGCUGGAGGUAUCAGAAGUGCGAAUGCUGACAUAAGUAACGAUAAAGCGGGUGAAAAGCCCGCUCGCCGGAAGACCAAGGGUUCCUGUCCAACGUUAAUCGGGGCAGGGUGAGUCGACCCCUAAGGCGAGGCCGAAAGGCGUAGUCGAUGGG